UGGAUUGUGGCUCUGCGGUAGAGCGCUCACCUAGCACGCGAGGCCCUGGGUUCGAUCCUCAGCAGCACAU
This 70-nucleotide transfer RNA is filed under the name Marmota monax (woodchuck). Its description in RNAcentral is "tRNA.Ala". Lineage: Eukaryota; Metazoa; Chordata; Mammalia; Rodentia; Sciuridae. The record is from RNAcentral.